CCGAAGCUUCCUGGUCGGGUUUUAAAAUUGUUGAAAUUCUUUCAAAUUUCAUUAACCUUUUUCAAAACAGCAUACUUUUUUGAAAAAUCAAUAAUGUUUUAAAAAUUCAUCUGUUUUUUUUCUAAAUUUCAUUCCUUAGCAGGUUCAGGGUCCCCUCCUCAUCCGAGACACUUGACUAAAUUGACCUUAAUUUUUCUAAAAUAUCCUCAACAAAAACAUUAGUCCCACAACAUUUAUGUUGACAUUAAUUGACAAAAACACACUGCCACACAUCAUGGCAGUAUCCUUGACGAUGUCGAAGGUACUGAGUCACAUAUGCACACUUUUAUUGUUCUCACGUAUCUUAUCCGCUUACUUACCACACGGCUGCCUCCGCACAUCAUGAAAUUUCGGAUAAAAGUGAGGAUUCAAUCUUAUAAAGUUCAAUUUGUGCUCUCAACCCAUUAACAAUAUCAAUAUGAAGCUUUUAAGAAAUAUUUUUUUAUUUGUUAAAUCGGUGAGAAUUACCUAAAUUUUAUCAAUAAUUAAAAUAUAUGAAACUCUCAUAUUUAUACAAAGCUCUUGUACUUUUUGAUAACUAAUUAUAUUUUAGUGAGAGGACAUUUCGUUUAAACUCAAACAUUGGCGUAUGCAAUUUUUCCAAAACUCAAACCACAUCUUGGAAGAAUAUAUUUUUAUUUUUCAAAGUUGGUUCCCUAGUUAGAAAUAUUUUGCUAAACCGAAUUUUGAGAGAUACACAACGUGAAACAAAAUAACAUUUCCUCAGCUAUCUUAUUUCGUUAGUAUAAUGUUGUUU
Molecule: long non-coding RNA, 796 nt
Filed under: Hordeum vulgare
Lineage: Eukaryota; Viridiplantae; Streptophyta; Magnoliopsida; Poales; Poaceae
Description: long non-coding RNA (HVUL_LNC020547)
Source: RNAcentral